CUACGGGAGGCUCCAGUGGGGAAUAUUGCGCAAUGGGGGAAACCCUGACGCAGCAACGCCGCGUGAAGGACGAAGGUUUUCGGAUCGUAAACUUCUUUGAUUGGGGAAGAAUAAAUGACGGUACCCAAAAAACAAGCCACGGCUAACUACGUGCCAGCAGCCGCGGUAAUACGUAGGUGGCAAGCGUUGUCCGGAUUUACUGGGUGUAAAGGGCGUGUAGGCGGGGAGGCAAGUCAGAUGUGAAAUACCACGGCUCAACCGUGGGGGUGCAUCUGAAACUGCUUCUCUUGAGUGCUGGAGAGGAAAGCGGAAUUCCUAGUGUAGCGGUGAAAUGCGUAGAUAUUAGGAGGAACACCAGUGGCGAAGGCGGCUUUCUGGACAGUAACUGACGCUGAGGCGCGAAAGCGUGGGGAGCAAACAGGAUUAGAUACCCCCGUAGUC
Molecule: ribosomal RNA, 441 nt
Filed under: uncultured bacterium
Lineage: Bacteria
Description: partial 16S ribosomal RNA
Rfam family: Bacterial small subunit ribosomal RNA
Source: RNAcentral